AUUGAACGCUGGCGGCAUGCUUUACACAUGCAAGUCGAGCGGCGGCGCGGACCUUGCCCUUGCGUCCAGCGGCGGACGGGUGAGUAAUGCAUAGGAACGUGCCCGGUAGUGGGGGAUAGCGUCCCGAAACGCGCGCUAAUACCGCAUACGUCCUGAGGGUGAAAGCGGGGGAUCUUCGGACCUCGCGCUAUCAGAGCAGCCUAGGUCGGAUUAGCUAGUUGGUGGGGUAAAGGCCUACCAAGGCGACGAUCCGUAACUGGUCUGAGAGGAUGACCAGUCACACUGGAACUGAGACACGGUCCAGACUCCUACGGGAGGCAGCAGUGGGGAAUAUUGGACAAUGGGCGAAAGCCUGAUCCAGCCAUGCCGCGUGUGUGAAGAAGGUCUUCGGAUUGUAAAGCACUUUUAGUUGGGAGGAAGGGCAGUAAGCUAAUACCUUGCUGUUUUGACGUUACCAAAAGAAUAAGCACCGGCUAACUUCGUG
RNAcentral lists this ribosomal RNA (484 nucleotides) under uncultured bacterium. RNAcentral's name for it is "partial 16S ribosomal RNA". It matches the Rfam family "Bacterial small subunit ribosomal RNA", at positions 30 to 507 of the family's 1533-position model. The record is from RNAcentral.